GGAGAUUUAGCUAAGCAGCAUAAGCACCUGCCUUGCAAGCAGGCGGUAGUGAGUUCAAUCUCAAGUACCG
Cavia porcellus (domestic guinea pig) is the source of this 70-nucleotide transfer RNA. It matches the Rfam family "tRNA". Rfam says of the family: Transfer RNA (tRNA) molecules are approximately 80 nucleotides in length. Their secondary structure includes four short double-helical elements and three loops (D, anti-codon, and T loops). Lineage: Eukaryota; Metazoa; Chordata; Mammalia; Rodentia; Caviidae. The record is from Rfam.